This 242-nucleotide long non-coding RNA is filed under the name Haliotis rubra (blacklip abalone). RNAcentral's name for it is "uncharacterized LOC124261858". Lineage: Eukaryota; Metazoa; Mollusca; Gastropoda; Lepetellida; Haliotidae. The record is from RNAcentral.
UUUCAGCAAACUACACAAAAACAGUUGUAAGAAGAUAGCACCGUUGCUAUGUAAACAAACAGCUGUCAACUGCCAAGCUCCUGUCAAAGUGGACCAAAUCUGGAUAUGUUUCGAUCUCCAACAUGACGUGUCAUUUGUCACAAUGGUUCAGGAGAAGCGAAACUAAGAGGCAAGGGUUUGAACACUCUACUCAAAGAAUUAACUCUUUGUAAUGAUUCUUUACAAUCAACUCUUUAAUAAAA